CUCGACAGUGAUAAUAUCUGCUUCUCCUCGUCAUAUCCCCGUCGUGUAUAUUGUGCUCGCGUGUCUCGUAGUUCGCGAUGAGCGUUGGCAACCUUUAAGAAGGUAAUUGAGACAGUGAUUAUCACUGCGUCGCUUAAAUGGCUUUACGUAUAAUGUCAGCCAUAGUGCCAACCACACACAAUGUGACUGAUAUUGAUCAUGUAACUGAGAAGCAAAAACUACUGGAGGAUCUGUUGGCUGCUGCGAAAAACUGCCAUGUCAGGUUUGGAGGACGCGCUGAACUUGCCACAGAAUCAGAAGUGUGUGUGGCACAGCUCUGCCAUAUAUUCGAGUCGAUAUUCAGUCAUGGGAUAAAGACAAAUUGCAUAGAGAAGAUCAAUUCAGCAUUCAGACAUGUGUCUGACCUGGUCUCCGGUAGCAAUGGUAAUAAUAAACCUGGCACUAUGGCCUAUAUAGCAUUCUGGCCGUGCAUAAAGGAGCAACUCACUUGGCACGAGCAGGAACGCUUCAGCGUGUUGCGGAAAGUACGUACGGAUUACGGCCGUGGUAGAGCGUGGCUGAGAGCUGUCCUGAACGAGAAAUCUCUGGAACGGCAUUUACACGCCAUCAUAGAUCCCGGCGCAUUGUCUCCUUUUUACGAGGAGUGGGCCUUCUUACUCGAUCAAGAGAAGUGUUCUGUAUUACCUAAUGUAGCCGCAGGUCUUGGUACAAUUUUAUUUGCGAUAAGAAUAGAUAAUGAAGAACUCGACGAUAAUUUGAAAGGGAAGGGGAUGGACAAGGGUAGGGGCGUGCAGUCGGAGCCGGUUAUUCCUGCACUAAUUCCAGGGCCUCCCACGUCUCAACACGAGAAGAAAAAAGUACCAGUCCAUAUAAUUUCGUUUGACGAUGACGAGGAGAGAGACGAGCGCAAAGAGACCACGACUUCGAUGAGCGCUCCAGCAACGUGUCUCAGUUCUCCUACUGCACCCUCGACUAAAGAUUCUAUCUCUCCUUGUUUGGAUCAAGUUCCUGAACCUCAAGUCGAUUCCAAUGAUAACACGGUGGACAAUACGAAGUUUCCCGAGUGGGAACAAUGUGAGUCCUUCGAAGAGGAGAAGAUUUUAACUCCCGUGACGGAUGCUGAAAAUUUGGGCGGCCUUGUACCUGUGUCACCACUUGAUCAAACGUUAGACGAUAUGUUAGUUACUCUACCAAACUAUUUAGACGAUUCAUCGGAACUGACAGAGGCGGCAGUGGAGGCUACGGAGCCGUUAGUCGGUUUAGACUUCCAUGUAGAUCCAGAGAAUUUAGAUAUAGAUACGUUACGCGUAAGACUUUUAGCUAUGACGGAAGUGUUGGAGCAAGCUAGGGAAGACGCUAUAACGAGCAGAUUACAAUUAGCCCGCUUCCAGAGACAGCAUCAGCAUUACUUGGAAAGACAUGAGUUGCAGUUGCAAACAUUAAACAGGGAGAACGAACUUUUGCGACAGCAAUUGCGUAAGUACGUCACCGCUGUCCAAAUGUUACGAAGGGACUCGAAUUCCACAACCAUGUCUGAAGAAGACCCAGCGUUAGAUUAUCACAACGAGGCGCGGCAGUACGAAGAAAAGUUGAUACAAGUCGCGGACAUGCAUGCCGAAUUGAUGGAAUUCAACGCCAGGUUGACGUUGCAACUGACAAACAGAGACAGAUUGGUGAAGAUGUUGCAAGCGGAAUUGGAGUGUCUGCGAGGUCCGUUAAACGAGGAUGAUUUACCCUCGGAUCCACCGUGUCUCAUUCAUAUAUGGAUUCCAUCGGUAUUUCUCACGGGACAACCAUCUGAUAUCCACCACGUUUAUCAAAUUUAUGUACGCAUAAGGGACACAGAGUGGAACAUUUAUCGACGGUAUGCUCAAUUUUACGCUCUCUACAGAGAGCUAAAGAAACACGACGCUAUCGUUACUACUUUUGAAUUUCCGCCAAAGAAAACAAUAGGAAAUAAGGAUGCGAAGUUCGUCGAGGAUAGACGACAAAAACUACAGCAAUGGUUACGGCGUGUGGUCGGACGCGUGGCACAAUGUUCCCCCGCGUUUUCGUGCAGACCAAGCAGGCAGACUCUUGUAUCCUUGAUGCCUUUCUUUGGGUAAGUGUUCCACGCGGAGAUUAAAAGUGAACGAUCACGAUCCACGGACACUUCAAAGCCAAUAUUGACUGAUAGCCCUAAUGCCGAGGAAUCGAGGAAAAAUAAUUCUGCAAGAAGUACUUUCUCUUCCUCCCCUCAAUACAUGGGUUUAUAAUCAUGACAAUUUUUAUAGACAAUUUGUACAUAUACGUGUGGGAAAGAAAAGAAAAAAAAUAUCUUAUUAAUUUAAUUACUUCAGACAAGAAUCUUGUUACAUGCGACGUAUUGUUGACGAUUAAAGAGAACGGGGCGCUCUAUUGCAUGUGUUUAAUGUAUAUAAGAAUAAUACCAUACACACCUUGCGACCUGUAUGACGCCGGCAUGUGUGUAUGGAAAUUAAUAUAUAACAUAGACAAUUAUAAAAAAAUUGGUUCUAUACUUCUUUUUUUUAAUGAAAAUAAUAGCUCAUGUUUCUAAUGUUUUA
RNA transcript from Odontomachus brunneus, 2564 nucleotides. It is a transcript of the gene named sorting nexin-29, with no coding region annotated. The transcript has 12 exons. NCBI's taxonomy places the organism in Eukaryota, Metazoa, Arthropoda, Insecta, Hymenoptera, Formicidae. The record is from RefSeq and is a predicted model, not a curated record.